This 80-nucleotide microRNA precursor is filed under the name Callithrix jacchus (white-tufted-ear marmoset). Its description in RNAcentral is "mir-1202 microRNA precursor family". It matches the Rfam family "mir-1202 microRNA precursor family". The record is from Rfam by way of RNAcentral. Lineage: Eukaryota; Metazoa; Chordata; Mammalia; Primates; Cebidae.
GCUGCAGAGAUGCCAGCUGCAGUGGAGAAGGCACUGCUGGGGCUGCCCACUCUAUGGAGCCAGCAGGUGUCCAGAACAGG